Sorghum bicolor (sorghum) is the source of this 2448-nucleotide long non-coding RNA. RefSeq lists it as uncharacterized. The transcript has 3 exons. Lineage: Eukaryota; Viridiplantae; Streptophyta; Magnoliopsida; Poales; Poaceae. The record is from RefSeq and is a predicted model, not a curated record.
CUCCCCUCGCCCCAGCCAAAACGUCCACAUCCACUCUCCUCGCACACCUUCUUCCUCCUCUCGUCCCCGACGGCGUGUUGCCGUGCUCAGCAUGACUCCACAUCCUGGCCGCCUUGCCCUACCCCCGCCUUGCCCUUCCCGCCGCCCGCCAUCCAUCACGCCUCCUUCCACAGGAACGCGGGCCUACUCUGCUACACAGCGCCGCCUCCAGGCGCCUCGCUCGUCCGUCCUCGCUGCCGCCCGGCUUGGUCCUUCUCACCGCGGCUGGGCGCACACCCCUACUCCACUACUACUUUUUUCGGGGGUGCAUGGACUGUGGAGUGAAGACCAGGGUUGGCCUCUACAACUAAAAGACCCUGACGCCGCCGCCUGGACGCGGACCAUGGCUGGCCACCUCGAGCCUCGGCGGGAACCCUAGGUCCCGCUCCAGGGGUGGACGGCGAGGACCGGCGUCGGCGUCAGCGGGGUGGAGGCGGAUGUAACGCUCGACCAGACCCCGAUGUUGCAAUCCAGACCAAUCGCCACGAUCCGGCCUUCUCUACAAUAGCCCCAGCAGACCCAGUUCUUCACCCUCCGCAUUGCAAACCAGAUCCGCUCCCACACAUGUCAAGUCUCCAGAUCGCCUUCCCCAAUGCCCCACUUGUAUCAUCUGCGCCCCACCUAGAUCACGUGCACUGGUCUAAGGGAUGCAACGGUGAAGGCUCUUGCUGUUGACGAAUCAGGGCCGACGCGCAGCAACGGAUUCUGCUCAGGGAUAGAUAGUGAACCAUGCUAAUAGGCUGUCGAUUUGUCAAGGUCUGGCAUUGAUUCUCGUCCUCCGCUAAAGUCGCCUUGCACCGGCCCAUUCUUGAACGCCUCCCCUACAGGCCCUACUUAGCAUGCCAGAGGUACGGCUCCGUCUGACUGUUCCGUCCAUCCACCGCCACGGUCGUUUCUCUCCUGUCCAGAUCCCUCUCUUGCAAGGUUUCUCUAAGGUACACUUGGUUCUCUGUGGCUUCCCUUUCGGAAUGUGUUGGUACGGUGAUGGUGUUUUGAUUUGUGUUCGUCGCUUUGGCGGAUCUGGUCGUGUGCAGAGUGGGCAAACAAGAUGAUGGGCGGGUUUCUCUCUAGGGUCCUCCUGUAAGCGCUCUCUUGCUCCUAAUCUUGUAACGUGUUCUCCCAAUCUUGUAGAGAGUGUUUUGAGUUGUUGUGCUCUUUUUAGUGACCUGCUUCUGUGCUUUGUCAAUAACUAGAUUUGAUCCUCUUCAUCUCUGUGUUAAUGAAUUAUCUCCCUUUUUGAUGUAAGCGCAUCUAAAGUGUCAGUCUGUUGAAGGAUACUUUGAUACAGAAAUCAUGCAUCUUUAAAUUGUCAGCUUUUCUUUCUAAUUUGUCGCACUUUAAAAAGCAAAACCUACAAUAUCAGAUUCAACGAUACUUUAUAAGUCAGUGAGGUGAUGUUCCUCAUAUGUGCAUACUGCCUAGAUUUGUAGCUGUGAGCGCAGGAAUGGCACUGACAUGUCUCAUUGGCGACUUUGUGCAGUUCGUUAUGAGGCAUUGGCAAGUGUGCAGGGAUGCCUUGGAUGAGCUUGUGCGUCCUAUGGUGUAGGAUAUUUAUGAGUUAAUAUCUUAGUUGUGUGAUAGAAGUUAAGGUUACUGAAUGAAUUGGAAAAUAUAAAUUAUAAUGGUGGUAGCUUCAAAUCCUAAAUGGUCACCCCAUGGAGUGGGAAAUAGGUUUUUCCCUAAUACUGUACUCUGAUUCUGGCAUGCUAGGAGCAAACUAUAGAUUUGAUAGCUUUUUUGUGUGUUUCGAAACAAACUAAGAUUUCUCAUGAUAUCAUCACCAAUGCAGAUUAUAUAAUCAAAAUAUGUUCGACACAUUAGUCUUAAUCCAUAUUUUCUUUUCUUGUCAAUCUGCGAUGAUGAGUAAAUAACUCUACAGUACCAUGACUUUCUACCAUAAGCAGUGGUGCUUGCUUAUGGUAGCUGAUAACUGAUAUCUCCACGAUGUACCAUGGACCUAGCAAACCCGUAGAAGCAUACAUGUGCAAGUGAUGCAAGAGCCCAUAUUAUCCAGGAGGUGGCUUCGAUCCUACCAUCCAGGAGCAUCUAUUACGGGAUUCAAACCUGCUGGUGCCACGACUAGCUAAUCAUGGAUGAAGCGUUUCUCUCCUGUUAUAGAAAAGAUUAUUAGUAUAUCAUAACCAGUAGUUAUAUUAUAAUUGUAAUUGCAAGUCAUCUUAAAAUACAUGUAAUUAGCUGUAUACUUUUUAAGGUAAUAAUUAUUAGACGGGCUAUGUUUGGUUUCAUGUAGCCGAACAUGUUUAGAGUGUUCAUUGAAUCUGUUGUACAAUUAGUAUCAUCUCAUGGAAUCGGGCAAGUGAUGCUACAUUUUUAUUUGAACACACACAUGUGUAUGAUACUAUACAACAAAAGUACCCCCAUAAAGUUUAAUAGAAUACUUCGUUUGAA